Molecule: long non-coding RNA, 1656 nt
Organism: Strigops habroptila (Kakapo)
Lineage: Eukaryota; Metazoa; Chordata; Aves; Psittaciformes; Psittacidae
Exons: 2
Source: RefSeq, a predicted model, not a curated record
UUCUGUGGGAUCAGUGAAGGUCAGAGUCUGUGCCCGCACUCACAUACCACUGUGCUACUGCGAUUUUUCCUGUGCUUCUGAGAUUCUUUCCUGUGCCACCCUUAGUUCACAGGAAAAAAAAAAAAAAGUUGCUUUUGGUGGGAAAGGAGCACUUUCACUCACCUCUUCAUUCAAGGGCCAUAUGGUGCCUCACCAUUUUGCAGGGUGCUGUGGAUCUUCCAAAGGGACAUAGGGAAACAUUCAGGAGUGAAAGUGUCUUCAUAUAGUUCUCCUUACUUUCCUUGAUGAUGAUGCAAUUGGUUACAAGGACAGUUUUAAACUGCCAAUUGAGGGAAAUCCAAAGAAUUAAAGAAGAAAAAUAAUUUCUAAACCACCAAAUCGACAAGCUGAGCUCCUUAGGAUAUGUGACACAUACUGCUGCUGGUUUGCGUGUAAAAACCACAAUGCUCUCACAGUGAGUGCAUUCUGUAUGAAGCAGUCUCAUGGAAAUCAGUGGGACCAUCCUGCGAGAACAAAUAUAGUUUUCAGUCCCAUUUAUUACUCUCUUGCUUUGAACACCAUGGUGGCAUUGCCCGGCAAGGAAUCUGUUCCCAGAGGAGAUAGAUUCUCAUGUUUUAAUUCACAAAGGAAUUAUUGCUUCAUGUAUGAUACAUAGUGAAAACUCUACAAAAUUAACUUGCAAAAUGCGAGUGAUUUUGAAGAAGCAGGAUGUGAAGCUGCUUUGCCUCAAAGCCAUGAUGCCCUGUUUUAUUUCCAGCCUUUUGGUUUCUGAGCUGCACCAUGAUAAUGGAAAGGAGAAUAACAGUCAAGAGAGAUACAAUUCUGGAAAGAUGAAGGAAAGAAGAAAAAGAGAGUACCUCCUUCUGCACUCAGGACAGAUUAAAAAACUGCGAUAAAUUUCUCAUAUUAGUAGUACGUUUCAUCUAAUAUGUUUCUAUGAGGCAGGAAUGAAACUCCAUCUUUAAGUACAGUUUUGGCUUCCUAGAAAAAGACAACAUUUAACAACAUUUCUGCCUAGAAAAAGACAACAUUUGGUUGACUGCCAAUUGAACAGGCAUGUGCAGAGGAAGAAGAGUAAGGUGGAAGAAAAGAAAGAUGGUUGGGGACAGGGGCAAAAAAUAAUAAAUGAAAGACACAAAGUAUUUUAAUGAGUUGUCAUUUUGAACAGCAUGAUUUUGUGAGUCCAACACAGAGAUGUCUGCUUUUGUGGGUAUGUAGGAAAACAUUUAAAAAAUCUUAUCCAUGUUAUUUAUACUGAUUGUGGAAAAUUUAAAUACGUUUGAAAUUAUGAGCUGAAAUUUUAUGGGCAGAAGGAGAAAUUUCUUUCUGAGUACCUCUGAGACUAUUACACUAAGUAUUUUUAGUACGGUCCUAAAUACAUGCAUUCCUGAAUUUCUGAUAAAAACCACUAAUGUAACUGACUUUGCAUUUGAGUUGAUAUUGUUAAUCAAGGGUGAUUGAGAACAUGUGAAAAAGAAUUAGAGGCUGGAUGUUUUAGGCAUCAAUAAACCCUCUUUUUUUCUUUGAUUCCCCUUCUACCUAUUUGCAGGUCAAAGUACCACUGUGUUCCCACCACAUUCAUUGUGAUCCCACAUAAAAUUUACUUAAGCUAUCGUGUCCUUGUGAUAACUUUCAAAUAAAUCACAAUACAAACCA